Molecule: ribosomal RNA, 492 nt
Filed under: uncultured bacterium
Lineage: Bacteria
Description: partial 16S ribosomal RNA
Rfam family: Bacterial small subunit ribosomal RNA
Source: RNAcentral
AGUGAACGCUGGCGGUAGGCCUAACACAUGCAAGUCGAACGGCAGCACAGUAAGAGCUUGCUCUUACGGGUGGCGAGUGGCGGACGGGUGAGGAAUACAUCGGAAUCUACUUUUUCGUGGGGGAUAACGUAGGGAAACUUACGCUAAUACCGCAUACGACCUACGGGUGAAAGCAGGGGAUCUUCGGACCUUGCGCGAUUGAAUGAGCCGAUGUCGGAUUAGCUAGUUGGCGGGGUAAAGGCCCACCAAGGCGACGAUCCGUAGCUGGUCUGAGAGGAUGAUCAGCCACACUCGAACUGAGACACGGUCCAGACCCCUACGGGAGGCAGCAGUGGGGAAUAUUGGACAAUGGGCGCAAGCCUGAUCCAGCCAUACCGCGUGGGUGAAGAAGGCCUUCGGGUUGUAAAGCCCUUUUGUUGGGAAAGAAAAGCAGCAGGUUAAUACCCCGCUGUUCUGACGGUACCCAAAGAAUAAGCACCGGCUAACUUCGUG